UGCUGACAUCCCUUCAUCAACAUCACACAUGUCUAUCUCAUCCCACACACUUCUCUCUCUCUUUCUCUCUCUCUUAGGAUAACCAUUUUUCAGAUCUUAAACAAAAAAUUCUUCUUCUUAUCAAAAUCCUUCAUAAUCAACCAUCAUAACUCCAAAUGCUCCUAACAAAAAAGAUGCUCCGAAUUAAAAAAAAAAAAAAAAAAAAAAACUCCAGAUGCUCCGGUUGAAGAUGCUUCGGGAAGAUGCUACCAGAUCCAAAAGAUGCUCCAGAUCCGGUUGAAGAUGUUCGAUAUUGAAGAUGAUGUUUUUCAGAUGACGGUUCAAUGUUGAAGAUAAUUCAAAAGAUGUUGAAGAUGUUCCAGAUCUAAAAGAUCACCCAGAUCAAUAAGUAUGUUUGUGUUUUUGUAGAUCUUCCUUUUUUGUGUUUUGUAGAUCUCCAACAUUUUUUGUAAUUUUCAGAUUCAUAAUUUUUUGUGUUCCAGAUCUAAAAGGUCCUCUAGAUUUGCAAUUUUUUGUGUUCCAGAUCUAAAAGGUCCUCUUGAUACAAUCAUGAAACAAAGUGAGUUUUGUUGUUACAAAAAAAUAACAAGAGUGACGUGAAGCAUGGUGUGGUUCAUAUGACGGUUCGAUGUUUUAGAUCUGAAGCAUUUAGUUCUUGUUUUCUGGAUAUGUUGUUUUUUAUUACUGAUUUUUUCAUUUUUUUGUGUAAAAUUUGUUUUUAGAUAUGAAACAAUUUGAUUUAAGUUCUUAUGUAUUGGAUUCUUGUUAAUGAAGUGAUAUUUUUUAUGUA
Helianthus annuus (common sunflower) is the source of this 790-nucleotide long non-coding RNA. RefSeq lists it as uncharacterized. The transcript has 2 exons. NCBI's taxonomy places the organism in Eukaryota, Viridiplantae, Streptophyta, Magnoliopsida, Asterales, Asteraceae. The record is from RefSeq and is a predicted model, not a curated record.